UAAACCAAUCAGAAGCUUGAAAUAUGACGCCACGCAAGGGCCGUGCAGGGUUAACGUGAAGCGAUGGCAAGGUGGAUUGGGGAGCAGCCCCAGCUCGGGGUUCGCACCGUGACUCAGAGAGACUGUCAUUUCACCCACACUGACUGAUGUGUUAAGACACACCUGACUGUAUCAGAGAUCCUCUCUCGGACAACAUCGUCUCGCUGAGCUGUCUCAGUCCUAUGGUGUUCUGCAACUAUGACUAACCUGAGGAGGCUUGGAUUUGGCUGCAGGUAUCCCCGUACAUCCUUCUCAGCAGCACACAUGACACCAGGAGAGAUGCGUCCUCUGUCACAGAUGGUGUGGUCAGUGAAGAUGGUCACCUGGAGGUUCAAGCUCAUUGCAUCUCCAACCCACAUCCACUGCCACUGUAUUUAAGGGAAGUUAAAGACUUGCACUUACAUGUGAAAUACCUAAAUCCAUGACAGUCAUUCAGCCAGUAAUGCCUGGACUGGAAACAAGCAUCCUUAAAAUAUUACAGCAUACCAAGCUUCUGUGUUUGAAUGCAAAACAAAUAUGUUGUUUGAUCUAGAGACUGCACUUGUGGCUAAACAAUAAAUAUAUUUUCUUUUGAUUAUAUAAGUAAUGUAA
Long non-coding RNA from Pelmatolapia mariae (spotted tilapia), 630 nucleotides. RefSeq lists it as uncharacterized. The record is from RefSeq and is a predicted model, not a curated record. NCBI's taxonomy places the organism in Eukaryota, Metazoa, Chordata, Actinopteri, Cichliformes, Cichlidae. The transcript has 4 exons.